This 158-nucleotide ribosomal RNA is filed under the name Hyperphyscia adglutinata. Its description in RNAcentral is "5.8S ribosomal RNA". It matches the Rfam family "5.8S ribosomal RNA". Rfam says of the family: 5.8S ribosomal RNA (5.8S rRNA) is a component of the large subunit of the eukaryotic ribosome. Lineage: Eukaryota; Fungi; Ascomycota; Lecanoromycetes; Caliciales; Physciaceae. The record is from RNAcentral.
UAAACUUUCAACAACGGAUCUCUUGGUUCCAGCAUCGAUGAAGAACGCAGCGAAAUGCGAAAAGUAAUGUGAAUUGCAGAAUUCCGUGAAUCAUCGAAUCUUUGAACGCACAUUGCGCCCUUGGUAUUCCGGGGGGCAUGCCUGUUCGAGCGUCAUUG